Molecule: non-coding RNA, 934 nt
Organism: Microcebus murinus (gray mouse lemur)
Lineage: Eukaryota; Metazoa; Chordata; Mammalia; Primates; Cheirogaleidae
Source: RefSeq, a predicted model, not a curated record
AACUUUAUUUUUGAGAAUUUUUGAGAUCUGAGUGAAAGGCAUGAAUCUGGGGAAUAAGGACAGAUACAACUCUAUUUCUCUCUGAAUGCUGACUCUUCCCAACAGUGGCACACCCAGCCGAGGGCAAGUUCUGGAGCAUGAAGAGCUGAAUUUUGCUUGUUUCUUCUGAGAGUACUUCAAAAUGGACAAGUCUGAAUGACGAUUGGCAAAUCCAGGCAGGAGAAAGCCAACAUCAGUCCCCAAAGAACCAGAGCCUUGGAUUAGAGCCAAGAGGCUUGUAUUUUGAUGCAACACGAGUUGAGUCAACACAAAGGAAUAGUCACUCAAGUGUGCAAGGUCACGAAUAAGGUUGAGAUUCCAGAAACUCUCUUUCCUUGUUACUGAUUUUUGACCUGGUGGUGCGGAAACUGGUUUAAAUGGCCUCAUCAGCAUGAGGCUGGAGAGCUAUGGAUGGUUAGAUACUACUCUCGGGAUAAAAGUGGUUGGCAAAACACUUUUUAGUGAAGAUUUAUUCAACAGAUUAUUUAUUAAGUACCAUGUAUAUACCAAGCACUAUAGAAUGUAUUGGGGAUACAACAGCGAAUAAGACACUGUCUUUGCUCACACAUGGAAAUGAGAAAUUAUAAUGUACCUGUUAAGUGCUACAGUGGGGGUCAGUACAAGGUACUGUGGGAACCCAAGGAUUAUAACCAUUCUUGGUCUCUGAUGGUCAGAAAAGACUUUCCAGAUGCAUAAUAUAAAGACAGAGCCCUUGAAAUUGUAUAAAAUUAGCUAGGUGAUGAAAGAAGUUAGCUUGUGCAAAGGUCCACAGUCUAGCAUGCCUGGAGGUUAAAUCUCAGGGAGCUAGAACAAGUGUGAAAAGAGAUAGAAUCUGGGAUCAUCAAUCUCCUUUUCAUAUAUUGGGUUUGUAGGUCAAGUUAUUCUGCUGAGUUCA